CAACUAUAGAUUUGUUCCAAAUGCAUUUGAAAUAAUUCUCCCUAGUUGCCAGCAGUACCUUUCUUUAUAAAUCCAGCAGGAAGUAGUAUGCUAAUCCAAUUGGAACAGCGAUGAGCAAGCCAAAUAUAACCCUACAGGCAAUCACUCUGGGUUGUGAAGCCAUGAAUAGGCCUGACCAGAAAAAGAUUAAAGAGAUCUUCGAUGGAGGAAUAAAGAAGUGCAUUGCAAGAGAAGUAAGUUAAAUCUUGAGUAACAACUACAGUGAAGAAAGAAUUUUGCUAUUUAUGUUAAAAGUGUGAGAAUAAGUGUUCUAGAGAGCUGCUAUAAAGCUUGAAAUUUUGCCAGGAAAAUAAAAGGUCAUGGCGUUUCUUCUUCAAGCUCCCUUAAUUCUUUUUCAGUUAAAUUUUUGUGUUUACUAUCUAGAUUUGAGGUUGAUUACUCAUAACCACUUGGGCUUGGACCAGGGUUUGGAAUCUUGCAAAGUUAGUGAAUCUAUCCGAUCACUCGGCCUAGGUUGCUGUUGAGCGUCGACAGGUGGGCCAUUGGGAUGGUGUAUUUAUCAAUCUCUAAUUUUGAUAACACAUGGAAUUAUUCCGAGGUCAUCUGUCGCAGAAUGGCAUAUACUGUGAGGUAAGGAAACAUAAAAUCAAACACUAUUUGCAAAUUAGGACUAUUGGUAAUGUUUUAUCUUGAUAUUUGUUUCAAAUGCAUAUUUAUAUGUUGGUGUUGACAAUAACCAAUUUCGAAGAUUAAAUAUUAUAGGAGAUCUAGGAAAAGUUUAGGUGGUUGUGUGUGGUUUCAAUACGUGUCCUUUUCUCCCUUUUCUUUCUAGUGAGUAUUUCAUUUUCUAUCAGUUUGCUACGCAUGAAAUAUCUUUGGUUAAAAGCAAAAAGUGAGGCCAAAUUUAUACUCGAUUUUUUCUUUUCCAACAAUAAAUAAAGAGUAUAAUAUAUAUUUAUCACUUCGAAAUCCUAGCUCUAUCUCAUGUUUUGGUGUUUCAUCCGCCUUCCAUUUUCAAAUGUUCUCCUUUUUUUUUUAUAAAUAUUUUGUUUUCAAUUUCGAAAAUUUAUGUAUCACUUUAAUGGUAUGCAAUUAUUUUAGCCCUUAAUUUCAAUUUGGAAGCUAACUAAAUAUUAAUUGGAAUCUAUAAUGUUUUUUUUCUCUUAAGAGUAGUAAACGUUUUGAAUGUAACCUAGGGGGUAUUAUCUACGUGCACAAUAUCUUCAUUAGUUUUAACUUGCAAGUGUUCAUGUGAAAUUUUACUAGUUAUUUUUAUUAAUUAUUAUAGAAUGCAUGUGUAUACAUUUCCAUACUUGAUUAUACAAAGAAGUAAGGAAUAUUUUAAUUUUGUCGUCUGACUACCUUUUGUUGAGCUCUCUUUUAUUUCAUGUUAUUAGAGUAUAUAUAGGUGCCUUGUUAUCCUAGAAUAUAGCUUAAGAUUAGCAGCUUGGCACAUUUGAUUUCUUUUCGUAAAGGUAUCUCUAUUAGCUAGAGUGACGACUCACCCUCACCUGCCGACCCAUAUAUUUAUGUACGUUUUUAGGUGUUUUGCGUUAGCGUUACAUAAAUACUACUAUAUGAGUUUGGUUUCAUUUUAAUUAACCAAUAGUACUAUAAAGUUUCCACUAUCUCUGGAUAUUGUAUAUCAAGCUGAUAAAUAUUACUCUUACUAGUUACUACUAUAUUGAAUAAAUCUGGUUUGUUUUUCAAAAUUUCAAUUUUUCUGAAUUUUCUCACGGCAAAGUUUUCUGUUUUAACGAAUACCUCUCGCACAACAUUCUCGUCUAGUCGCGCUCUCUGUUUCAUCUACCCCACGACUGACGGCUCCUCUGAUUACCAACAUCGUCCAACAUUCCAACUUUUAAUCUACAGUAUACUAUUUAAAAAUAUAGAUCCCUAAAUAAUUUUUAAUAUAAAAAUCACUUGAGUAUUGUUUUUCUAAAUAUUCUUUAAUUAAAACCACAGAUAGAGCCGUAGAAGAUUUAAUAAAAGUAGAAGAAUGAUAAUAAAAGAAUUUACUGGUCUCUGGUCUCACCUUUGCAUUGA
Long non-coding RNA from Salvia splendens (bonfire salvia), 2046 nucleotides. RefSeq lists it as uncharacterized. The transcript has 4 exons. NCBI's taxonomy places the organism in Eukaryota, Viridiplantae, Streptophyta, Magnoliopsida, Lamiales, Lamiaceae. The record is from RefSeq and is a predicted model, not a curated record.